RNAcentral lists this ribosomal RNA (365 nucleotides) under uncultured bacterium. RNAcentral describes it as "partial 16S ribosomal RNA". It matches the Rfam family "Bacterial small subunit ribosomal RNA", at positions 338 to 700 of the family's 1533-position model. The record is from RNAcentral.
CCUACGGGUGGCAGCAGUGAGGAAUAUUGGUCAAUGGGCGGAAGCCUGAACCAGCCAAGUAGCGUGCAGGAUGACGGCCCUACGGGUUGUAAACUGCUGUUAUACGGGAAUAACGCGCCGUACGUGUAGGGCUUUGCAUGUACCGUAUGAAUAAGGACCGGCUAAUUCCGUGCCAGCAGCCGCGGUAAUACGGAAGGUCCGGGCGUUAUCCGGAUUUAUUGGGUUGAAAGGGAGCGUAGGCGGCAUGUCAAGCGUGCUGUGACAUGUCCGGGCUCAACCCGGGCCUGGCAGCGCGAACGGGCGUGCUUGAGUCCGCGCAAAGCAGGCGGAAUUCGUCGUGUAGCGGUGACAUGCUUCGAUAUGAC